This 253-nucleotide ribosomal RNA is filed under the name uncultured bacterium. RNAcentral describes it as "partial 16S ribosomal RNA". It matches the Rfam family "Bacterial small subunit ribosomal RNA", at positions 524 to 776 of the family's 1533-position model. The record is from RNAcentral.
UACAGAGGGUGCAAGCGUUAAUCGGAAUUACUGGGCGUAAAGCGAGCGUAGUCGGUUAUUUAAGUCGGGUGUGAAAGCCCCGGGCUCAACCUGGGAAUUGCAUUCGAUACUGGAUAGCUAGAGUUCGGCAGAGGGAAGCGGAAUUCCUGGUGUAGCGGUGAAAUGCGUAGAUAUCAGGAGGAACACCUGCGGUGUAGACGGCUUACUGGACGGUAACUGACGCUGAGGCACGAAAGCGUGGGUAGCAAACAGG